RNAcentral lists this unclassified non-coding RNA (240 nucleotides) under soil metagenome. RNAcentral's name for it is "partial contains 5.8S ribosomal RNA, internal transcribed spacer 2, and large subunit ribosomal RNA". The record is from RNAcentral.
AACCUAGCACACCUGCGGUGUGUACCUGCGGAGGGAUCAUUACCGAGUUUACAACUCCCAAACCCCUGUGAACAUACCUAUAAUUUGCCUCGGCGGACUCAACGACGGUGCUCCGAGAAAUCGGGCGCCGCUCGCUGCCAGAGGAACCCCAAACUCUAUGUAUUCUUGUGGAUCUUCUGAGUAAAACAAAACAAAUAAAUCAAAACUUUUAGCAAUGGAUCUCAGAUCGGAAGAGCACAC